Molecule: small nucleolar RNA, 82 nt
Organism: Dunckerocampus dactyliophorus (ringed pipefish)
Lineage: Eukaryota; Metazoa; Chordata; Actinopteri; Syngnathiformes; Syngnathidae
Product: small nucleolar RNA SNORD35
Exons: 1
Source: RefSeq, a predicted model, not a curated record
UGCAAGUGAUGUUUUUCUCACGAUGGUCUUCCAAGUUGUAAGCGUUGACGACAUCGCCUUAUGGCAAAACUGAUGCGGCCUC